AGAGUUAAAUGAAAUUAUUUAAGCUGCUAACUUAUAAUAAUAGUGGUUUAAAUCCAUUAUAUCUCUA
This 67-nucleotide transfer RNA is filed under the name Chorotypus fenestratus. Its description in RNAcentral is "tRNA-Ser". The record is from RNAcentral. Lineage: Eukaryota; Metazoa; Arthropoda; Insecta; Orthoptera; Chorotypidae.